Molecule: unclassified non-coding RNA, 353 nt
Filed under: soil metagenome
Description: partial contains 5.8S ribosomal RNA, internal transcribed spacer 2, and large subunit ribosomal RNA
Rfam family: 5.8S ribosomal RNA (bases 1-120)
Source: RNAcentral
GAUGAAGAACGCAGCGAAAUGCGAUAAGUAAUGUGAAUUGCAGAAUUCAGUGAAUCAUCGAAUCUUUGAACGCACAUUGCGCCCGCCAGUAUUCUGGCGGGCAUGCCUGUUCGAGCGUCAUUACAACCCUCAGGCCCCCGGGUCUGGCGUUGGGGAUCGGCGGAAGCCCCCUGCGGGCACAACGCCGUCCCCCAAAUACAGUGGCGGUCCCGCCGCAGCUUCCAUUGCGUAGUAGCUAACACCUCGCAACUGGAGAGCGGCGCGGCCACGCCGUAAAACACCCAACUUCUGAAUGUUGACCUCGAAUCAGGUAGGAAUACCCGCUGAACUUAAGCAUAUCAAUAAGCGGAGGA